AAAAGAACUCAAAACUCUUCGUACUCCCACUAUACUACACCCUAAACA
This 48-nucleotide transfer RNA is filed under the name Ptyctolaemus gularis. RNAcentral's name for it is "partial tRNA-Ile". Lineage: Eukaryota; Metazoa; Chordata; Lepidosauria; Squamata; Agamidae. The record is from RNAcentral.